Molecule: unclassified non-coding RNA, 331 nt
Filed under: soil metagenome
Description: partial contains 5.8S ribosomal RNA, internal transcribed spacer 2, and large subunit ribosomal RNA
Rfam family: 5.8S ribosomal RNA (bases 1-120)
Source: RNAcentral
GAUGAAUAACGUAGCGAAAUGCGAUAAGUAAUGUGAAUUGCAGAAUUCAGUGAAUCAUCGAAUCUUUGAACGCACAUUGCGCCCCCUGGUAUUCCGGGGGGCAUGCCUGUUCGAGCGUCAUUUCACCACUCAAGCCUCGCUUGGUAUUGGGCAACGCGGUCCGCCGCGUGCCUCAAAUCGUCCGGCUGGGUCUUCUGUCCCCUAAGCGUUGUGGAAACUAUUCGCUAAAGGGUGUUCGGGAGGCUACGCCGUAAAACAACCCCAUUUCUAAGGUUGACCUCGGAUCAGGUAGGGAUACCCGCUGAACUUAAGCAUAUCAAUAAGCGGAGGA